This 714-nucleotide ribosomal RNA is filed under the name uncultured Eubacteriales bacterium. RNAcentral's name for it is "bacterial SSU rRNA". It matches the Rfam family "Bacterial small subunit ribosomal RNA", at positions 64 to 780 of the family's 1533-position model. Lineage: Bacteria; Bacillati; Bacillota; Clostridia; Eubacteriales. The record is from RNAcentral.
GAACGGGAUCUAGUAGACAGAAGCCUCGGCGGAAGAUUACUAAUGAGAGUGGCGAACGGGUGAGUAACGCGUGAGCAACCUGCCUAUGACAGUGGGAUAGCCUCGGGAAACCGGGAUUAAUACCGCAUAAAAUCGUAGAAACACAUGUUUCAACGGUCAAAGAUUUAUCGGUCAUAGAUGGGCUCGCGUCUGAUUAGCUAGUUGGUGAGAUAACAGCCCACCAAGGCGACGAUCAGUAGCCGGUCUGAGAGGAUGAACGGCCACAUUGGAACUGAGACACGGUCCAAACUCCUACGGGAGGCAGCAGUGGGGAAUAUUGCACAAUGGGGGAAACCCUGAUGCAGCGACGCCGCGUGAACGAAGAAGGUAUUCGUAUCGUAAAGUUCUGUCCUAUGGGAAGAUAAUGACAGUACCAUAGAAGAAAGCUCCGGCUAAAUACGUGCCAGCAGCCGCGGUAAUACGUAUGGAGCGAGCGUUGUCCGGAAUUAUUGGGCGUAAAGGGUACGCAGGCGGUUUAAUAAGUCGAAUGUUAAAGAUCGGGGCUCAACCCCGUAAAGCAUUGGAAACUGAUAAACUUGAGUAGUGGAGAGGAAAGUGGAAUUCCUAGUGUAGUGGUGAAAUACGUAGAUAUUAGGAGGAAUACCAGUAGCGAAGGCGACUUUCUGGACACAAACUGACGCUGAGGUACGAAAGCGUGGGGAGCAAACAGGAUUA